Molecule: long non-coding RNA, 333 nt
Filed under: Amborella trichopoda
Lineage: Eukaryota; Viridiplantae; Streptophyta; Magnoliopsida; Amborellales; Amborellaceae
Description: long non-coding RNA (ATRI_LNC004335)
Source: RNAcentral
CGCAUAAACAUAUCGAUAUAAACACAUCGUAUAUAUGCAUAUACAGUCCAUACACAACACGUAAACAUGUAUAGUAUACAUAUCUGUGAGUGUGUAUGAGUGUGAGUGUGAGUGUGUAUGAGUGUGAGUGUGAGUGUGAAUGUGUGUAAGUGUGUGUAUGAGUGUGAGUGGUGAGUGUGAGUGUAAGUGUGAGUGAGUGUGUGUAGUAUAUAAAUUAAUGUACAUAUACGUUAAUACUGUAUGAACUGAUACAUCAAUAUAUAUAUAGAAAUAUAUAUUUUAGCGCAUUGUAUUGAUAUAGUUAUGCACUUUACACAUAUACACAUAUCAGUA